Molecule: transfer RNA, 69 nt
Filed under: Bos taurus (domestic cattle)
Lineage: Eukaryota; Metazoa; Chordata; Mammalia; Artiodactyla; Bovidae
Also listed under: 2 other names
Rfam family: tRNA
About the family: Transfer RNA (tRNA) molecules are approximately 80 nucleotides in length. Their secondary structure includes four short double-helical elements and three loops (D, anti-codon, and T loops). Further hydrogen bonds mediate the characteristic L-shaped molecular structure. tRNAs have two regions of fundamental functional importance: the anti-codon, which is responsible for specific mRNA codon recognition, and the 3' end, to which the tRNAs corresponding amino acid is attached (by aminoacyl-tRNA synthetases). tRNAs cope with the degeneracy of the genetic code in two manners: having more than one tRNA (with a specific anti-codon) for a particular amino acid; and 'wobble' base-pairing, i.e. permitting non-standard base-pairing at the 3rd anti-codon position.
Source: Rfam by way of RNAcentral
CCUCAUAGCUCAGUCGGUAAAGAAUCUGCCUGCAAUGCAGAAGACCUGGGUUCGAUCCCUGGGUCAGGA